UUGUCAACUUUAACAUUUCAUUAUAGCCCACGAUAAUCAGAGUACAACUUUUAAACAUACACGCGUUACAACUGUACAAACCCCAAAGUCCACGUGUAUGGACAAGAACAAAAGUUUAAACACGUGUUGAGAAAAAGACAUGCAAUCUUGAAAAGCUAGCUCCGGUGACUUCAGCCAUCUUCGCCGGCGAGAUUACCCAGCCAAUACAGUGCUUCAAUCUUCUUUUCCCAACUUUAUUCACCAUUAACUGUACUCAUGUUUAUCUCUUCCGCCAUUAGCCAUGUUCUUGAGACAAAGAUCCUUGCGAACACCGAUUGUAAAUUCUGGGAAGACUUGAACAACUUUGAGCAGACCCUAUAUUGGACCAUCUCCAUAAAAGAUGCCAAUUUUACUGAAUCUCUCUGUAGCUGAUCAAGAUAAAUCCAAAAACUCAAUCUUUCUUUACGUUUGAGAAACUUUCUCCAAGAACAUAUAGAGAGGAGAAAGAAUUAUACUCAUAGAAAAGGAGAUCGAGGGUGAUCGGAAAAGAGGAGAGCUCCAACUCAGUCGCAUGGGAUAGAGAUUUGGUGACGGAAGGGGCGAAAUCCGCUAAUCGGAAUUCAAAGAUCCGCUAACUGGAAAACCUAGAUCCGCUAAUCGGAAGACAGACUAUCGAUCUGACGAUCGAACAUAGUUUACAGACAAAAAACAAAAAGAUUUAGUGACCGGCAGCAAGAGAGCCACCGGCCACUGGAAACGAAACUUUGUUUUUGUGACUCUUAGAGAGAGGUCGGAGAAAUUAUCAAGAGAGAGAGGGAUUGGCUCUUA
Molecule: long non-coding RNA, 807 nt
Filed under: Brassica napus (rape)
Lineage: Eukaryota; Viridiplantae; Streptophyta; Magnoliopsida; Brassicales; Brassicaceae
Description: long non-coding RNA (BNAP_LNC019787)
Source: RNAcentral